This 497-nucleotide ribosomal RNA is filed under the name uncultured bacterium. Its description in RNAcentral is "partial 16S ribosomal RNA". It matches the Rfam family "Bacterial small subunit ribosomal RNA", at positions 28 to 507 of the family's 1533-position model. The record is from RNAcentral.
GACGAACGCUGGCGGCGUGCCUAAUACAUGCAAGUUGAGCGCUGAAGGUUGGUACUUGUACCAACUGGAUGAGCAGCGAACGGGUGAGUAACGCGUGGGGAAUCUGCCUUUGAGCGGGGGACAACAUUUGGAAACGAAUGCUAAUACCGCAUAAAAACUUUAAACACAAGUUUUAAGUUUGAAAGAUGCAAUUGCAUCACUCAAAGAUGAUCCCGCGUUGUAUUAGCUAGUUGGUGAGGUAAAGGCUCACCAAGGCGAUGAUACAUAGCCGACCUGAGAGGGUGAUCGGCCACAUUGGGACUGAGACACGGCCCAAACUCCUACGGGAGGCAGCAGUAGGGAAUCUUCGGCAAUGGACGAAAUUCUGACCGAGCAACGCCGCGUGAGUGAAGAAGGUUUUCGGAUCGUAAAACUCUGUUGGUAGAGAAGAACGUUGGUGAGAGUGGAAAGCUCAUCAAGUGACGGUAACUACCCAGAAAGGGACGGCUAACUACGUG